AAUAGUCUUUUAAUUGAAGGCUUGGAUGAAAGGUCGGACAAUAAGAAUUGUGUCUCUCAGGUAAGAUUAUUGAAAUUAACUUUUAUGUGAAAAGGCAUGAAUAACUUAGUGGGACGAUAAGACCCUAUAAAAUUUGAUAGUUUAUAAUAGUUUUUUGAAUUAUUAUGUAAAAAUAGACUGGUUAGAGCUAUUUUGCUGGGGCGGCAGGAAUAAAAUUUAAGUAACUGUUUUGUAAACGAAAUAAUUAUAAUUAGGUAGUGACCCUGAAUUUUAGGGUGAGAGUAUAAAUUACUUUAGGGAUAACAGCGUGAUUUUUCUUGAGAGUUCAUAUCGACAGAGAUAGUUGCGACCUCGAUGUUGAAUUAAAGAGUCUCCCAGGGGCAGAAGUUUGGGAUGAGGGUCUGUUCGACCUUUAAAUCUUUA
This 423-nucleotide ribosomal RNA is filed under the name Bannereus cf. chani MNHN IU 2010-4187. RNAcentral describes it as "partial large subunit ribosomal RNA". It matches the Rfam family "Bacterial large subunit ribosomal RNA", at positions 1967 to 2598 of the family's 2925-position model. The record is from RNAcentral. Lineage: Eukaryota; Metazoa; Arthropoda; Malacostraca; Decapoda; Alpheidae.